This 1358-nucleotide ribosomal RNA is filed under the name Mesotoga bacterium PhosAc3. RNAcentral describes it as "bacterial LSU rRNA". It matches the Rfam family "Bacterial large subunit ribosomal RNA", at positions 556 to 1915 of the family's 2925-position model. Lineage: Bacteria; Thermotogati; Thermotogota; Thermotogae; Kosmotogales; Kosmotogaceae. The record is from RNAcentral.
CCGUGAGUCUACGAUAAGUGGGAGCACGAAAGUGCGACCGCGUGCCUUUUGAUUAAUGAGCCUGCGAGUUACCGUAACUGGCGAGGUUAAUCCGAGAUAGGAGAAGCCGAAGGGAAACCGAGUCUUAACAGGGCGGAAGUCAGUUGCGAUAGACCCGAAACCGGGUGAGCUAUCCAUGGGCAGGUUGAAGGUGGGGUAACACCCACUGGAGGACCGAACCAGUUAGCAGUAAAAAGCUAUUGGAUGACCUGUGGAUAGGAGUGAAAAGCUAACCGAACUCGGUGAUAUCUGGUACUCCUCGAAACGUGUUUAAGCACGGCCUUGCAUGGUUAGUGGAGGGGGUAGAGCACUGAUUGGGCUAGGGGGGCGACCUCCAACCCCAGUCAAACUCCGAAUACCUCUACUCAAAGUGCAGGAGACAGACUGCGAGCGAUAAGGUCCGUAGUCGAGAGGGAAACAGCCCAGACCACCAGCUAAGGGCCCAGAGAGAUAGCUAAGUGUUAAAGGAAGUGGAGAGUCAAAGACAGCUAGGAUGUUGGCUUAGAAGCAGCCAUCAUUAAAAGAGUGCGUAACAGCUCACUAGUCGAGACUCACCGCGCCGAAGAUGUAAGGGGGCUAAAGCUAUCCUCCGAAGCUGUGGAACAGGAAACUGUUGGUAGAGGAGCAUUGUGUUGUAGGGAGAAGGCAGACCCGUGAGGGCUGUUGGACGAGACACAAGAGAGAAUGCAGGCAUGAGUAAACGAGAGGAGAGUGAGAAUCUCUCCCCCCGAAAGCCUAAGGGUACCUGGGGAAGGUUCGUCCGCCCAGGGUUAGUCGAGACCCUAAGGGGAACCCGAAAGGGGUAACCGAUGGGAAACCGGUUAAUAUUCCGGUACUGGCGUAGCAUGAGUUUUGGGGUGUGACACAGGAGGAUAGGCGUUGCGUACUAGUUGCAUAGUGCGUCCAAGUUUCGAGUCCGGAGAUCGCGGCAGGGAAAUCCACCGCNGGGAGGGUGAGGGACGAAUGGGAGUUCCUUCNGGGAGCAACAACGUUGAGUUCACACUGUCUAGAAAAGCAUCGCAAAGCGUUUGAGUGCUAAGCCAAUCGUUCUGAAAACCGACACAGGUAGGCAAGCUGAGAAGGCUAAGGGGAGCGGGAUAACUCCUGUUAAGGAACUAGGCAAAUUAGCCCCGUAACUUAGGGAGAAGGGGUACUCUGGUUGGUUAAGAGCUGACUGGAGUCGCAGUGACAAGGCAGCGGCGACUGUUUACCAAAAACACAGGGCUCUGCGAAUUCGAGAAGAAGACGUAUAGGGUCUGACGCCUGCCCAGUGCUGGAAGGUUAAGGGGAAAGGUUAGCGUAAGCGAAGCUUGAACCGA